GAUGGAUCCGCGCUGCAUUAGCUAGUUGGUAAGGUAACGGCUUACCAAGGCAACGAUGCAUAGCCGACCUGAGAGGGUGAUCGGCCACACUGGAACUGAGACACGGUCCAGACUCCUACGGGAGGCAGCAGUAGGGAAUCUUCCGCAAUGGGCGAAAGCCUGACGGAGCAACGCCGCGUGAGUGAUGAAGGUCUUCGGAUCGUAAAACUCUGUUAUUAGGGAAGAACAUAUGUGUAAGUAACUGUGCACAUCUUGACGGUACCUAAUCAGAAAGCCACGGCUAACUACGUGCCAGCAGCCGCGGUAAUACGUAGGUGGCAAGCGUUAUCCGGAAUUAUUGGGCGUAAAGCGCGCGUAGGCGGUUUUUUAAGUCUGAUGUGAAAGCCCACGGCUCAACCGUGGAGGGUCAUUGGAAACUGGAAAACUUGAGUGCAGAAGAGGAAAGUGGAAUUCCAUGUGUAGCGGUGAAAUGCGCAGAGAUAUGGAGGAACACCAGUGGCGAAGGCGACUUUCUGGUCUGUAACUGACGCUGAUGUGCGAAAGCGUGGGGAUCAAACAGGAUUAGAUACCCUGGUAGUCCACGCCGUAAACGAUGAGUGCUAAGUGUUAGGGGGUUUCCGCCCCUUAGUGCUGCAGCUAACGCAUUAAGCACUCCGCCUGGGGAGUACGACCGCAAGGUUGAAACUCAAAGGAAUUGACGGGGACCCGCACAAGCGGUGGAGCAUGUGGUUUAAUUCGAAGCAACGCGAAGAACCUUACCAAAUCUUGACAUCCUUUGACAACUCUAGAGAUAGAGCCUUCCCCUUCGGGGGACAAAGUGACAGGUGGUGCAUGGUUGUCGUCAGCUCGUGUCGUGAGAUGUUGGGUUAAGUCCCGCAACGAGCGCAACCCUUAAGCUUAGUUGCCAUCAUUAAGUUGGGCACUCUAAGUUGACUGCCGGUGACAAACCGGAGGAAGGUGGGGAUGACGUCAAAUCAUCAUGCCCCUUAUGAUUUGGGCUACACACGUGCUACAAUGGACAAUACAAAGGGCAGCGAAACCGCGAGGUCAAGCAAAUCCCAUAAAGUUGUUCUCAGUUCGGAUUGUAGUCUGCAACUCGACUACAUGAAGCUGGAAUCGCUAGUAAUCGUAGAUCAGCAUGCUACGGUGAAUACGUUCCCGGGUCUUGUACACACCGCCCGUCACACCACGAGAGUUUGUAACACCCGAAGCCGGUGGAGUAACCUUUUAGGAGCUAGCCGUCGAAGGUGGGACAAAUGAUUGGGGUGAAGUCGUAACAAGGUAGCCGUAUCGGAAGGUGCGGCUGGAUCACCU
This 1314-nucleotide ribosomal RNA is filed under the name Staphylococcus aureus. RNAcentral describes it as "bacterial SSU rRNA". It matches the Rfam family "Bacterial small subunit ribosomal RNA", at positions 224 to 1528 of the family's 1533-position model. RNAcentral also lists the same sequence under 1 other name. Lineage: Bacteria; Bacillati; Bacillota; Bacilli; Caryophanales; Staphylococcaceae. The record is from RNAcentral.